UGGGGAAUUUUGGACAAUGGGCGAAAGCCUGAUCCAGCAAUGCCGCGUGUGUGAAGAAGGCCUUCGGGUUGUAAAGCACUUUUGUCCGGAAAGAAAUCCUUGGCUCUAAUACAGUCGGGGGAUGACGGUACCGGAAGAAUAAGCACCGGCUAACUACGUGCCAGCAGCCGCGGUAAUACGUAGGGUGCAAGCGUUAAUCGGAAUUACUGGGCGUAAAGCGUGCGCAGGCGGUUUGCUAAGACCGAUGUGAAAUCCCCGGGCUCAACCUGGGAACUGCAUUGGUGACUGGCAGGCUAGAGUAUGGCAGAGGGGGGUAGAAUUUCACGUGUAGCAGUGAAAUGCGUAGAGAUGUGGAGGAAUACCGAUGGCGAAGGCAGCCCCCUGGGCCAAUACUGACGCUCAUGCACGAAAGCGUGGGGGAGCAAAACAGGAUUAGAUACCCUGGUAGUCCACGCCCUAAAACGAUGUCAACUAGUUGUUGGGGAUUCAUUUCCUUAGUAACGUAGCUAACGCGUGAAGUUGACCGCCUGGGGAGUACGGUCGCAAGAUUAAAACUCAAAUGAAUUGACGGGGUCAUAGCUGUUUCCU
This 588-nucleotide ribosomal RNA is filed under the name uncultured bacterium. RNAcentral's name for it is "partial 16S ribosomal RNA". It matches the Rfam family "Bacterial small subunit ribosomal RNA", at positions 355 to 1375 of the family's 1533-position model. The record is from RNAcentral.